UUCUAGGAGACCAGAGGAAUGUGUAUAGCAUCAAGAUACUAUGCCAUUUCUGCGGAUAAAAGGAACCAGUCCUAAUUAUUACAUCAGACCAGAGGGAAAGGACUGAUUUGCAAAGAAAAGUUCGGUAUGGGACCUGAGCUGGAUGCUUAAAAAAAGAAAAAAAAAUGCGUGUGGACAGGUAGGGGCUUGGAGACAUCUGUUACUCCCAGAGCUGCAGGAAGGGUUCUAGAGACAGAGGUGAAGGAUGCAAAGACAGACUUGGGGGAAAAGGUAGCGUCCACACGGAUAAGGGACCUGAAAUGGCAGGUCUCACUGACUGCUACUCUCCCAAGGGGCACGGUUAGCACAAAAGGCGGUGAGACGUAACUUGUACGCGGAAACUUCUGCCAGACCCAGGCUCAGGGCAGCCAGGAUAAGGAGCAAGAGCAGAGCAGAUGCAGCUCUCGGCCCAAAGGCCAGGAUAAAAUGCUUGGAAGUGAUUUAUUUAUAAGAAGAGCUCCCACUCUCUGGCCUAAAGACCAACAGCGGAAAGAAACUGAACACAAAUCGCAGGAUUUAAACUGGAGGCAAACAAAUGGAGAAGGUGUGCUCCAUGGCAUGUCUUCACUCUCCAGCAGCAGUAAAGCAGUGGUUAUGAAAGGAUGCCCUCAUCAGCAACACUUGGGAACUUGUCGGCGAUGAAAAUGCUGGGGGUGGGGGCCAGCAGUGUUUGAACAAGCCCUCUUGUGAUCCUGAUGUCAAAAGUUUGAGAACCACUGAAUUAGGGAGGCAAAGAAGAGGGUCGAGCCACUUACUACAUUACAGUCUGGUCAGGAGGGUGACGCUGGCUUGAAUUGAGAUUGGCAUCAUGUGAAUUGGUUGGAGGAGUGCAG
This is a long non-coding RNA of Balaenoptera ricei (Rice's whale), 872 nucleotides long. RefSeq lists it as uncharacterized. The record is from RefSeq and is a predicted model, not a curated record. NCBI's taxonomy places the organism in Eukaryota, Metazoa, Chordata, Mammalia, Artiodactyla, Balaenopteridae. The transcript has 4 exons.